This 254-nucleotide ribosomal RNA is filed under the name uncultured bacterium. RNAcentral's name for it is "partial 16S ribosomal RNA". It matches the Rfam family "Bacterial small subunit ribosomal RNA", at positions 524 to 776 of the family's 1533-position model. The record is from RNAcentral.
UACGUAGGGUGCAAGCGUUGUCCGGAAUUAUUGGGCGUAAAGAGCUCGUAGGCGGUUUGGCAAGUCGGGUGUGAAAACUCCGGGCUCAACUCGGAGACGCCACUCGAUACUGCUAUGACUCGAGUCCGGUAGGGGAGUGCGGAAUUCCUGGUGUAGCGGUGAAAUGCGCAGAUAUCAGGAGGAACACCGGUGGCGAAGGCGGCACUCUGGGCCGGAACUGACGCUGAGGAGCGAAAGCGUGGGGAGCGAACAGG